UGGGGAAUCAUUGGACAAUGGGNGCAANCCUGAUCCAGCCAUGCCGCGUGAGUGAUGAAGGCCUUAGGGUCGUAAAGCUCUUUCGCCNGAGAUGAUAAUGACNGUAUCUGGUAAAGAAACCCCGGCUAACUCCGUGCCAGCAGCCGCGGUAAUACGGAGGGGGUUAGCGUUGUUCGGAAUUACUGGGCGUAAAGCGCACGUAGGCGGAUUGGAAAGUUGGGGGUGAAAUCCCGGGGCUCAACCCCGGAACUGCCUCCAAAACUAUCNNUCUAGAGUUCGAGAGAGGUGAGUGGAAUUCCGAGUGUAGAGGUGAAAUUCGUAGAUAUUCGGAGGAACACCAGUGGCGAAGGCGGCUCACUGGCUCGAUACUGACGCUGAGGUGCGAAAGUGUGGGGAGCAAACAGGAUUA
This 409-nucleotide ribosomal RNA is filed under the name uncultured Alphaproteobacteria bacterium. Its description in RNAcentral is "bacterial SSU rRNA". It matches the Rfam family "Bacterial small subunit ribosomal RNA", at positions 355 to 780 of the family's 1533-position model. Lineage: Bacteria; Pseudomonadati; Pseudomonadota; Alphaproteobacteria. The record is from RNAcentral.